AUACUUACCUGGCAAGGGAGAUACCAUGAUCAUGAAGGUGGGUUUCCCAGGGCAAGGCUUAUCCAUGCACUCCGGAUGUGCUGACUCCUGAGAUUUCCCCAAAUGUGGGAAAGUCGGCUGCAUAAUUUGUGGUAGUGGGGGACUGCAUUCAUGCUAUCCCUUG
This 163-nucleotide small nuclear RNA is filed under the name Carlito syrichta (Philippine tarsier). RNAcentral's name for it is "U1 spliceosomal RNA (ENSTSYG00000031741.1)". It matches the Rfam family "U1 spliceosomal RNA". From Rfam's summary of the family: U1 is a small nuclear RNA (snRNA) component of the spliceosome (involved in pre-mRNA splicing). Its 5' end forms complementary base pairs with the 5' splice junction, thus defining the 5' donor site of an intron. There are significant differences in sequence and secondary structure between metazoan and yeast U1 snRNAs, the latter being much longer (568 nucleotides as compared to 164 nucleotides in human). The record is from Rfam by way of RNAcentral. Lineage: Eukaryota; Metazoa; Chordata; Mammalia; Primates; Tarsiidae.